GGGUCGUUAGCUCAGUUGGUAGAGCAGUUGACUUUUAAUCAAUUGGUCGCAGGUUCGAAUCCUGCACGACCCAACA
This 76-nucleotide transfer RNA is filed under the name Klebsiella pneumoniae. Its description in RNAcentral is "tRNA-Lys". It matches the Rfam family "tRNA". Rfam says of the family: Transfer RNA (tRNA) molecules are approximately 80 nucleotides in length. Their secondary structure includes four short double-helical elements and three loops (D, anti-codon, and T loops). The record is from RNAcentral. Lineage: Bacteria; Pseudomonadati; Pseudomonadota; Gammaproteobacteria; Enterobacterales; Enterobacteriaceae. RNAcentral also lists the same sequence under 1 other name.